CCAUGCACCGGGAGCCCGACGUGGGAUUCAAUCCCAGGUCUCCAGGAUCGCGCCCUGGGCCAAAGGCAGGCGCUAAACCGCUGCGCCACCCAGGGAUCCCAAUAUUUAGUUUUUUUAUACAAGGAACAAUCACAUCAGAAAAACAGGACAUCUACUCCUGGCUCAAAGUACUGAGGCCUGGAAAUACUGAGCUUACAAAUGAAACUAUACUAUUCAAGAGGUACAUCAUGGUCUUUGCAGUUUCUCAAAGGGUUCUUCCCUCCCCUGGGAGAGUGAAAUCACUUUAAUCUCACUAUGAAACAGGAACCUGAUGGCCUGAUUCAGCCAUGUAUAAAGAAAAUGUUUUUAAAUCAGUCUCCACUUAAAGCUACAAAUGUGAUGACAAAGG
This is a long non-coding RNA of Canis lupus familiaris (dog), 388 nucleotides long. RefSeq lists it as uncharacterized. Lineage: Eukaryota; Metazoa; Chordata; Mammalia; Carnivora; Canidae. The record is from RefSeq and is a predicted model, not a curated record. The transcript is spliced from 4 exons.